This 1355-nucleotide unclassified non-coding RNA is filed under the name Leguminivora glycinivorella. RNAcentral's name for it is "uncharacterized LOC125238016, transcript variant X1". The record is from RNAcentral. Lineage: Eukaryota; Metazoa; Arthropoda; Insecta; Lepidoptera; Tortricidae.
CCAAAAUAAAUUGUACAAAAACACAAAAUGAAAUCAAUCUGGUUCCUGCUUUUGUUCACUGUCGUGUCGGCGACGAAACCCGUAGUUAGGAAGGAUGUGGUGCCCGUCCUUACGUUGGACCCUAGGAAGAGGAUUAUGGCCACUAACAGUACUAAGACCAAUUUGAAGUACCUGCCCUUCAUAGCUCUAAUAGACAAAGAGCACGACACGAGCGAAUACUGGCGUGCCACUGAGCUGCUCUCCCUCAUACGGAGUCGGGAAGAGCUCGUGGACUAUUCGCGGUGCAAAGUCCCCACCCCUAUUGACCCUGUGAGGUUUAACACCGCAAGGAACGUGCAUGCUCUGUGCAGGGAUAGUAUUGAUUUCCAGCUGUGUCCGCAAUGCGCCCAUUUCAGCAACACUUCGGAAUGCGAACUGUUCCGGGAUUCCUGCAAGGAGAAAAGAGUGUCAAAAUCGGAAUACGCCACAUACUGCGAUCGCAAGUACGGCAAAUGGCGGACCAUCUUCAUACCAGCCGACUACUCACAGUGCAGAUGUUGUGACGAGUGCGUCUUCUAUCGAGAAUUAGACGAGUCCUGUGUACAUGACGAAUUCGACUUCGAUUCGGAGGAGUUUCUACCAGUAAGCUCAAUUGAUUUCAGAGCUGGCUGCAAUCCAUACUUGGGGCAUCCCGAGCAGGAGUCUCGGGCCCUUCGAUGUGACAAGACUCUUCGCAGAUGUGUACCGAUGACUGUUCCAACUCUACCAAAAAGUGCAUUUGGUGUAAGUCACCGAAGCUUCCGCUACGAGCCUGUGGACGCCGACUGCCCCUCGUGCCGCGGUUACAUCUGCCCCCCUACCAUGAAACACGAGCCAGACUGUCACCCGGGCGCCUUCGUGCCCGACAGGGGGCAGUGCAACUGUUGCGGCCACUGCAGCUCCUACUUCCAAUUAAACCAAAAAUGUGCUGAAUUCAAGGAGUCCGUUGAAAAUGGUAGCAGCGAAAUUGAGGUAGAAGAAGAACUCUUAGAGCCUGGCUGUGACGACGGCCUGGUCUGCCGACAGGGGUUCUGCCAGGACAUCCACGCGGUGCAUGUUUCUGCUCAUAGUCGGAAGAGGAGUAGUCAGGAGCCAGAUGAGCCUUACGUGCCGUCGCUUCCUGUGUUACUGCGCCAUGGAGGACGGAACGCCCAUCGAAGGCGUCAAGGUACCCAGGGUCGAGGUCUCCAACAUGAACUGUGAUUGCGCUCGAGAAAAAUGUAGUUUAGAGACAGACGUGCAGUGCGACGGCUUCGGAAACUACAAGGAAGCCAUGUUUACUCCACACGUUGAUGAGUGGAGCGAAGCCGAAUAUGAAGACAAUGACGACAACUUAC